This is a long non-coding RNA of Nothobranchius furzeri (turquoise killifish), 1393 nucleotides long. RefSeq lists it as uncharacterized. The record is from RefSeq and is a predicted model, not a curated record. Lineage: Eukaryota; Metazoa; Chordata; Actinopteri; Cyprinodontiformes; Nothobranchiidae.
AGCUGACCGGGACACGUUAACGCGCCGCGGACGUUAGCUUUUCCUCAUUCUGCGACGAGGAGCUGGCGCAGCAACAACUUACUGAUGUCCUGUCUGCUCAUUUGACUGUUUUAACAGACUUCCAGAACAAGUCAGAGACCUGUCAUCUGCAGAAAGACUCAAGACGACUCUGCAGUCGUCGGGUUUAUGAGGGAUGGUCAAGAGUACAGAGAGCUGGUGGACCACUUUGUGGCGUGGUGUGGGGACACUCACAUAAUCUUGAAUGUGAACAAAACAAAUGAGAUGAUUUAGAAAGAAACGGGAAUAGCUCAACAUGCAUUAUUGGGGAGAAGGGGGAGGUGGUGGAAGAUUACAAAUACCUCAGUGUUCAUCUGGACAACAGACUGGACUGGAGACACAAGCGUGAAGCCAUCUCCAAGAAGGGACAGAGUGGACUGUAUAUCUUGAAUAAUAUUUUAGAUCCUUCAAGGUCUGCAGCAAGAGGCUGCAGACCUUUUACAGGUCUGUUGAGAUCUCUGGGCCACCAGCUGUUAACGCAGCAGCAUCAGAGCCUGCAGGGACCUAAAAAGGCUCAACAACCUGGCAAAAAAAGCUGGUUCUGUUCUGGAGAUGACUGAGAACCACUGGAGAUGAUGGUGCAAGAAGGACUUUUUAUAAAAUCAACAUUAUAGACAACACUGAGCAUCCUCUUCAUGCAACAAGCAUCUUCUUCAGAGCUGCUGUAACACAGCAGAUCCUUCCUGCCCACAGCCUUCAGAGAUUUCCAACUGAGCUCAUUAUUACUAGUAUUUAUUUUAAUGACUGCUUUGAAGAAUUAGUUAAGACACAUCUUAACUUCCUUCUGGGAUUAAUAAAGUCAUUUUGGACUUUAAACAGAGAACCCUAGUUCUGUGGAGUCGGUGAAGAAACCCAAUAAUGAACCGGUGACACUGCUGAACUCAAACAUGUUUGUGAUGUUCUCUAACGUGUAAUAAAUGUGGCUUGUAUAAAAUCCACUCCACCGCCUGCUGCUCAGCAGCAGAGUUUCUCCUCACGUGUGACAAGAGGUUUUCGCUCCACGUUUGCUGGCUGUUUACCUGUGAACCACACCUGGUUUGUUGUUGGGAUUUUUGUCCUGUCACUAUUUCUAACCUCCUUCGUCCUCAGUGGUUUAUUAAUUUCCUCACCCAAGCUCCUGUUUUCCUGUAAACUCCUCCAAAGAUGUGCUAUCUACACCUGAAAAGGACGGGAGAUUGGAUGCGUCGAGGAGCUGAGGGACCAAGCUCUUUUCUUCUGUAAAUAAAUGAUCUGACAAGAAUACCAACAAUCUAAAUGUGUUAAACAACAACCUGCUGUACACAUGGUCAUGUAAAGAAAAGAACUUCACAAUAAAAGCUCACUGCAAGAAUUUAAA